This 508-nucleotide ribosomal RNA is filed under the name uncultured prokaryote. RNAcentral describes it as "bacterial SSU rRNA". It matches the Rfam family "Archaeal small subunit ribosomal RNA", at positions 362 to 870 of the family's 1478-position model. The record is from RNAcentral.
GAAACAUAAGGACGUUAGGCUGAAAGUUAACGGCAUAGGUGGUUUAUCCCUACAUCUAAUGCACCUAUGUAAUCAGGGGGGGGCAAAUAUCGUGUCCACCCUCCGUGUAAUCCCCGCCCCUCCAAUUGUUGGCCACUAUAUUGGGCUCUAAACGUUCCUAACCCGGUUUGCUCAUCUUCCCGGAAAAUCUAACGGUUAACCCAUGAGGUUUCCGAGAUAUAAUGACAGGUUUGGCAACGGGAGAGGUAAGAGGUACUACGGGGGUAGGAGUGAAAUCUUGUAAUCCCCGUGGGACCACCAGUGGCGAAGGCGUCUUACCAGAACGGGUCCGACGGUGAGGGACGAAAGCUGGGGGCACGAACCGGAUUAGAUACCCGGGUAGUCCCACCUGUAAACUAUGCUCGCUAGGUGUCAGGGACGGUGCGACCGUUUCUGGUGCCGCAGGGAAGCCGUGAAGCGAGCCACCUGGGAAGUACGGUCGCAAGGCUGAAACUUAAAGGAAUUGGCG